CCCUCACCAGACCCAAAGCUGCCAAAAAACUGUGCCAGGCCCUCAAAAUGACCUAUAGUUUUCCUGAUUGAGAGGAUGUAAUCGUCAAGGCCCAGAAAUUUCUCAAAAGCAGCCUACAGAAAGAGAGAAGACAGAAGUAUUUGACAACCUAUGAUGGCGAGAGUCGAUGGUUAUGCGUGAGACGAUGCAUUCUCUGAAGGAGAUCAGGUUUGGAGGACCCUGCAUGCCAUGAUGGAACCUACCCAGCGGGCUAUGCUCUCGACGCCUGAGAGAAUGGAGUGUGACAUGUGGCUCCACUCUCUGUGGAAGACGUUGAGGAUUCAUUCC
Thalassophryne amazonica is the source of this 327-nucleotide long non-coding RNA. RefSeq lists it as uncharacterized. The record is from RefSeq and is a predicted model, not a curated record. The transcript has 3 exons. NCBI's taxonomy places the organism in Eukaryota, Metazoa, Chordata, Actinopteri, Batrachoidiformes, Batrachoididae.